UACGGAGGGGGCUAGCGUUGUUCGGAAUUACUGGGCGUAAAGCGCGCGCAGGCGGCUCUCCAAGUCAGAGGUGAAAGCCCGGAGCUCAACUCCGGAACUGCCAUUGAAACUGGUCGGCUAGAGUACGAGAGAGGUGAGUGGAAUUCCCAGUGUAGAGGUGAAAUUCGUAGAUAUUCGCAAGAACAUCAGUGGCGAAGGCGGCUCACUGGCCCGGUACUGACGCUGAGGUGCGAAAGCGUGGGGAGCAAACAGG
Molecule: ribosomal RNA, 253 nt
Filed under: uncultured bacterium
Lineage: Bacteria
Description: partial 16S ribosomal RNA
Rfam family: Bacterial small subunit ribosomal RNA
Source: RNAcentral